CCUACGGGAGGCAGCAGUGAGGAAUAUUGGUCAAUGGACGCAAGUCUGAACCAGCCAUGCCGCGUGCAUGAAGACGGCUCUAUGAGUUGUAAACUGCUUUUGUACGAGGGUAAACGCAGAUACGCGUAUCUGUCUGAGAGUAUCGUACGAAUAAGGAUCGGCUCACUCCGUACCAGCAGCCGCGGUAAUACGGAGGAUUCAAGCGUUAUCCGGAUUUCAGGGGUUUAAAGGGUGCGUAGGGGGUCGGAUAAGUUAGAGGUGAACUCCCGGGGCUCAACUUCGGAAUUGCCUCUGAUCCUGUGCGGCUAGAGUAGUUGCGGUAGGCGGAAUGUAUGGUGUAGCGGUGAAAUGCUUAGAGAUCAGACAGAACACCGAUUGCGAAGGCAGCUUACCAAGCUACUUCUGACGUUGAGGCACGAAAGCGUGGGGAGCAAACAGGAUUAGAUACCCGAGUAGUC
Molecule: ribosomal RNA, 458 nt
Filed under: uncultured bacterium
Lineage: Bacteria
Description: partial 16S ribosomal RNA
Rfam family: Bacterial small subunit ribosomal RNA
Source: RNAcentral